Molecule: ribosomal RNA, 468 nt
Filed under: uncultured bacterium
Lineage: Bacteria
Description: partial 16S ribosomal RNA
Rfam family: Bacterial small subunit ribosomal RNA
Source: RNAcentral
GACGAACGCUGGCGGCGUGCUUAACACAUGCAAGUCGAACGGAAAGGCCCUGCUUUUGUGGGGUGCUCGAGUGGCGAACGGGUGAGUAACACGUGAGUAACCUGCCCUUGACUUUGGGAUAACUUCAGGAAACUGGGGCUAAUACCGGAUAGGAGCUCCUGCUGCAUGGUGGGGGUUGGAAAGUUUCGGCGGUUGGGGAUGGACUCGCGGCUUAUCAGCUUGUUGGUGGGGUAGUGGCUUACCAAGGCUUUGACGGGUAGGCGGCCUGGGAGGGUGAACGGGGACAUUGGGACUGAGAUACGGCGCAGACUCCAACGGGAGGCAGCGGUGGGGAACAUGGCACAAUGGGCGGGAGCGUGAGGCAGCAACGCCGCGUGCGGGAUGACGGCCUUCGGGUUGUAAACCGCUUUCGACUGAGACGAAGCGUGAGUGACGGUACUGGGUAAAGAAGCACCGGCUAACUACGUG